Long non-coding RNA from Oncorhynchus gorbuscha (pink salmon), 618 nucleotides. RefSeq lists it as uncharacterized. The record is from RefSeq and is a predicted model, not a curated record. The transcript is spliced from 3 exons. NCBI's taxonomy places the organism in Eukaryota, Metazoa, Chordata, Actinopteri, Salmoniformes, Salmonidae.
AACUAUGUGUUGUUGUGUAUUACACCACCAGUCCCCCAGGGGGCAGUAGUCCUGUGAGGAGGAGGAGGAGGAGGAGGUGUCUAUAUUAACUAUGUGUUGUUGUGUAUUACACCACCAGUCCCCCAGGGGGCAGUAGUCCUGUGAGGAGGAGGAGGAGGAAGAGGAGGUGUCUAUAUUAACUAUGUGUUGUGUAUUACAUCACCAGUCCCCCAGGGGGCAGUAGUCCUGUGAGGAGGAGGAGGAGGAGGAGGUGUCUAUAUUAACUAUGUGUUGUGUAUUACACCACCAGUCCUCCAGGGGGCAGUAGUCCUGUGAGGAGGAGGAGGAGGUGUCUAUAUUAACUAUGUGUUGUUGUGUAUUACACCACCAGUCCUCCAGGGGGCAGUAGUCCUGUGUGUGGCGAUGGAUCAGAGGGCAGAGCAGAGCAGAGGAAGACUGUCGUUAAAACACUGGAGGAAUACACCAAUGACAGCUCAGCACCUGCUGACGGUCACAUAGUCCUCAUUCAGGUUCCUCGCUCCAAGUGGGAGAAGGAGGACUACGAAUCAGAGGAAGAGGAAGGAGGAAGGGUCAGGGUUCAACUCCGCCCCUUGCUCACCCCCUCUCUCCCUUUCUCCC